This 253-nucleotide ribosomal RNA is filed under the name uncultured bacterium. Its description in RNAcentral is "partial 16S ribosomal RNA". It matches the Rfam family "Bacterial small subunit ribosomal RNA", at positions 524 to 776 of the family's 1533-position model. The record is from RNAcentral.
GACAGAGGGUGCAAACGUUGUUCGGAAUUACUGGGCGUAAAGCGCGCGUAGGCGGACCUGCAAGUCGAGGGUGAAAGCCCGAGGCUCAACCUCGGAACUGCCUUCGAUACUGCGGGUCUCGAGUCCGGGAGAGGUGAGUGGAAUUCCUAGUGUAGAGGUGAAAUUCGUAGAUAUUAGGAAGAACACCAGUGGCGAAGGCGGCUCACUGGCCCGGUACUGACGCUGAGGCGCGAAAGCGUGGGGAGCAAACAGG